This 85-nucleotide transfer RNA is filed under the name Felis catus (domestic cat). It matches the Rfam family "tRNA". From Rfam's summary of the family: Transfer RNA (tRNA) molecules are approximately 80 nucleotides in length. Their secondary structure includes four short double-helical elements and three loops (D, anti-codon, and T loops). The record is from Rfam by way of RNAcentral. Lineage: Eukaryota; Metazoa; Chordata; Mammalia; Carnivora; Felidae. RNAcentral also lists the same sequence under 1 other name.
GCCUGGGUGGCUCAGUCGGUUGAGCAUCUGACUUCGGCUUAGGUCAUGAUCUCACAGCUCAUGAGUUCAAACCCCAUGUCGGGCU